RNAcentral lists this unclassified non-coding RNA (3229 nucleotides) under Leishmania donovani. Its description in RNAcentral is "gene:LdHU3.34.0810(CDS-product:Amastin_surface_gl ycoprotein_putative)". The record is from RNAcentral. Lineage: Eukaryota; Euglenozoa; Kinetoplastea; Trypanosomatida; Trypanosomatidae.
ACAUCCCCUUGCCCAGCCCCGACUCACUUCCGCUCUCGCCUCUCUCCUCGUCGGCUCUGUUGCGCAGUCUCCACCCCCUCAUCACUGCACCCAAUGCCCACCCUCACGUCGCUCUACCAAAAGGUUCGCUCGCGUGUGGAGAGAGCGGAAUGGCGGGUGACGGGUCUCGUCUAUGCCAUCCUGCAGUUCAUCGCGUUCUUCUUCGUGCUGGUCGCUACGCCGCUCGGCAUGUUUCUUUUAAAAAAAGCUUAUCGUCGCCACAACCUCGGCAUUUGCUACACCCUAUGGGGGGUGAAAAAUAAUUGCACUGACCUCACUAUCACCGCCUCCUACGACAAUCUUUGGGGCCUUUGCCCUGGCCGCCGCGACCGCUUCCGCGCUGCACAGGCAUUCGCUGUCAUCUCCAUAUUCGUGUACGGCACGGCGUUCGUCUUGGGCCUCAUUGCGCUGUGCUGCUGCGCCUGCCUCCGCUGGGUCUGCCUGGCGCUCAACGUUGCCGGCAUCGCCACCCUGUGCAUCGUCUGGGCGUCCAUGGUGGUGACCUUCAACAAGUAUGAAGGCCCCGGUUGCCCGGCGAUGAAUGAACUGACGGCAUUUGGUGCCGGCUUCGCUCUCUUGGUGGUGGCCUGGUGCCUGGAUAUCGUCAACAUCGUUUUCUUGCUCCUUACCAGCAGCGAUGCGGACUCUCGUCAGAGAGAUAUGUUUGGUUUUCCUCAAGGCGCGGAGAGGAGGAAGUGAAGUGAAGGAAGCGGCCGGCGAGCCUGACAGCAGCGCGGCACACACACCGUGACGCCCUCGUGGAGGAGCCGGCGGAGCUGAUCGCAGCGAGAGAGAGGGAGCGGAUGCCGCUGACCCUCGCCGGCCCACCUCUCUCGCUGCCUUCUCGUGCGUGCGUGUGCGCUUCCUCUGGGGUCGUUCUCCCCCUCCCUCCAAAUGCCGGUGCCGUGCACGGCGACCUGCGCUGUGUGGUGGGCAACGCGCGCCUGGCGCCGACAAGCCCAUCCAUGCCCCGUCCCCCCUCUAAGCCCCUCGCCCUCGCUGCCGUGUCGGAGUCGCCUCCCUGACGCUCGCCCGGCGCUCCGUUGGCGAUGUGAGGGCGCGAAGGAGGGGCGGGUGGCCGAGGUGGGCACGGAGGGCAAAGACAGCGGCGCGGAGAAACGGACGCCCUCGCACGGAGGACGGGAGGCGCCGCGCCACGCCGCAUCGGUCACCCACCCCCGCCCCUUCCACACCCCGUAGUCGCCAUGGCGCGUCUCUCUGGUGUCUCCGCACCACCCCGCGCCCCUGGCGGCACACCCGCGACGGGAAGAGGCACCACAGCGGCACGAAGACGCAGGCCGAGCACGGUCCCCCCCCUCCUACACACACGCGCACGCAUAUGCUGCCGGUGUUUCCGUUUCUGUUUUCGUGCUUUCGCUUGAUUUGACGCUCGCAUGUUUCCUUCGAUUUCUCUCGUUUUCGUCUCUCUCCCUAUGCAGAGUCGCAUGGACGUGUGCGUGUGCGUGCCCCUCUGCCAUUUUCCCGUUGUGUCUCCGUGCCGCUGCCCUGCUCCUCGUCUUCCCCGCCCCCUCCAUGCGCGUGUGCGUGUGCGGGCGAGGCGGCUGAUCGAGGGGACGACGAGGUGGAGAGCAGCCACGGCACCGCAGCGCUGGGGAUACAUGGGCAGUGUGCAGGAGCAGCGGAGGAGAGGCACGCACACGCACUCUGGCAAGGGAGUAGUGGUGCGGAGGCCGCAGGGGAAUACGCAGCGGAGCGAGUGGGUACGGAGGCGGAGCGGAGGAGAGGCAGCGCUGCUUCUCUGUUCGCCCCGCUUGCGUUGGACUCGAGUGUGUCUGCGUGUGCGCCCCCUGCGGCCCUCGGCCCCCUCGCCUCUCUUGCGCGCUUCGCGUCGCUUGUUUCGUUGCUGUGGCUGUCUAACUACGCCAUCGAGUCGGCCAGAGUCGCGUGCGCGGAGUAUUCAGACCACAUUACGGCAUGCGGCAUGCACCUACACCAGCCCCUGCGGCCUGCACGGCAGACGCCGCCGCCUCCGCCCUCGAGCAGGACCCUGCACCGGGGUCCGUGUGGCGCCGGUCGCGCUGCACGCGUGCGAGGGCGAUACGCGGAGGGACAAGGCGAGCCCGCUAGCAGCAUGGGCCGACUCGACGGCUGAACGGCUCGUCGUGGACGGCGCGGAUGUGGCCGCCGUGCGGCAGGGGUGGGUGGGCUGCGGCUGUAUGCGUGCACGUGUGGACUCGGUCGUGAUGGAGUGAGACGUUGAUAAGGAAGUGCUCUGCUUUCCCUGGCAAGCACGCGAAGGAGGAGGUAACCACGGCAACCACAAAACGACACGUAUAUACAUACAUAUAUACAUAUAUAUCAUCAUCCAUGUCGGCGUGCGCCAACAGACCAUCAAAACGCCCCGGACUUUGUUUUCCCCGCCGACCGCCGCCCCCGUGUGCUAGCCCGAGCGGACGGAGCGCGUGCGCCCUUUUCUCCUCGCGCUUCUCCAUUGCUUGUUUUUUGCUUUCUGUCUUUUGUUGUUGUCUCCGUUCCUCGACUGACUCACCCCAACAGCGUCACCGCCGCCGUUGCCGCCCCCCUCUUCUCCGAGAUGGGUGGGGCACGGGGAGCGCCGAGCUCUCUGGUGCUGCGAAGCGGUAGGGCUGCGCUCUGCGCGUGCGCUCUCGCGUGUCUGUGCGUGUACACACGUGUAUGGCCGUGCGCGUGAAUAUGUGUACCUGUGCGCGCGUGCGCCUUGUGGCGGCGCAGGCCCUGUCUGCAUGGAUGCCUCUUGAUCUGCCCCUCUCUCCUCUGCCUGGUGCACCUUCGCGCACGCCUCACGGGUGCCUCUCGGAGAAGCACGGUGAUGGAGUGGGGCAGCCCAGACGUGAACGCGGACACCGGCACACGGGAGCCAGGAGCGCACAUGCGCGCACAAAGGCAAUCAUUCUGCUAUACUGGCGAAAGGCAGCGCUGAGAAGCAUUGCCUGCAGCCGUGUGCGUGCUGUAGGCGGCACGGGUGGUGCUGCUGCGUCCGCAUCGCCUGAGGCAACUCUGCUGUGUGGUUGCUCCCUUGUGUCCUCGCCACUCUCCCCCGCAUUUCUCUCACUGUCCCUCCCUCUCUCCUCCCCCGCUUUCACUCCUGCCCACACCCCACGCCCCACACCCGUCCCCCUCUCACGACACACACACGCACGCACACAUGAACGGCACCGUGUGCGUGCACGCGCAACAACAACGACAACAG